This 165-nucleotide small nucleolar RNA is filed under the name Leptobrachium leishanense (Leishan spiny toad). RNAcentral describes it as "Small nucleolar RNA SNORD97 (ENSLLEG00000023687.1)". It matches the Rfam family "Small nucleolar RNA SNORD97". Lineage: Eukaryota; Metazoa; Chordata; Amphibia; Anura; Megophryidae. The record is from Rfam by way of RNAcentral.
AGGCCCAGUGAUUAUGAAAAGACGCGUUAUUACGAGGACUUAUACCGGGGCCUCUUCACCACUUUCUCCCCCUCCUCCUCCUCCUUCUCCCCUUUAUGCUUGUUCUUGCUUUCCUUCUUUCGGGGUACCCGGUGUCCUUUGAGCAAGAUUAUGAGAUGAGGGCUC